UCUAUUGGCAGGAAGGCGUCUUGGCGCCUUCUCUUCGCACCGUUUUCCGGAGACUGUUAGAGGAAGAGUCGCUUUUUCCUGCCUCCCAGGCUGCCCAGCGGCGCCGGUUGCCGGGGAACGCAGGCGCCGUGGGGAGGGAUGGCGGGAGGAUACUGCUUAGGUGCUGGAGACGGAGUUGAGCUGGUGAAGAAGAGCUCGGGCUCAUCAUGAAACAACGAAAAGGCCAAGGGUCUGGGGGUAGCCGUGGGCGCAAAAAAAGAGGUUUGAGUGACAUUUCUCCAUCUACAAGCCUGCCACCUCUGGUUGAAGGCCAGCUACGCUGCUUUCUAAAACUUACUGUUAAUAGAGUCAUAUGGAAGAUUGCAAAGCCUCCCACUUGUGUACUUGUCCGAGUGAGAUGGUGGGGAGAAACAUCAGAUGGAACCCUCUUUUAUCCCAGGGAUGCAUUGCAGACUGAACCAAAAGCUGUGAGAACAACUACACGUUACGCUAUUCGUUGUGGUCCAAAACAGUUUACCUCUUAUCUAACAGGCUGGUGUCAAACUUCUGUACCCAACAAUCCUCCUGCCUUGGCCUCCCAAAUUGCUGGGAUUACAGAUAUGGCUGUGCUGGUGCUGGAAGUAAUCACCAAACUUGACCAUCUUCCGAUUGGUAGAGUUCAGAUCAAUGGACUAGCUCAACUUUCUCCAACGCAUCAAAUCAAUGGAUUUUUUACCAUUGUUUCAUCAACGUCUAAGAAACUUGGAGAACUCCAGGUCUCACUUGC
Molecule: small RNA, 766 nt
Filed under: Pongo abelii (Sumatran orangutan)
Lineage: Eukaryota; Metazoa; Chordata; Mammalia; Primates; Hominidae
Description: processed transcript
Source: RNAcentral